AUUGAAGCUGGCGGCAGGCCUAACACAUGCAAGUCGAACGGUAACAGGAAGCAGCUUGCUGCUUUGCUGACGAGUGGCGGACGGGUGAGUAAUGUCUGGGAAACUGCCUGAUGGAGGGGGAUAACUACUGGAAACGGUAGCUAAUACCGCAUAACGUCGCAAGACCAAAGAGGGGGACCUUCGGGCCUCUUGCCAUCGGAUGUGCCCAGAUGGGAUUAGCUAGUAGGUGGGGUAAAGGCUCACCUAGGCGACGAUCCCUAGCUGGUCUGAGAGGAUGACCAGCCACACUGGAACUGAGACACGGUCCAGACUCCUACGGGAGGCAGCAGUGGGGAAUAUUGCACAAUGGGCGCAAGCCUGAUGCAGCCAUGCCGCGUGUAUGAAGAAGGCCUUCGGGUUGUAAAGUACUUUCAGCGGGGAGGAAGGGAGUAAAGUUAAUACCUUUGCUCAUUGACGUUACCCGCAGAAGAAGCACCGGCUAACUCCGUGCCAGCAGCCGCGGUAAUACGGAGGGUGCAAGCGUUAAUCGGAAUUACUGGGCGUAAAGCGCACGCAGGCGGUUUGUUAAGUCAGAUGUGAAAUCCCCGGGCUCAACCUGGGAACUGCAUCUGAUACUGGCAAGCUUGAGUCUCGUAGAGGGGGGUAGAAUUCCAGGUGUAGCGGUGAAAUGCGUAGAGAUCUGGAGGAAUACCGGUGGCGAAGGCGGCCCCCUGGACGAAGACUGACGCUCAGGUGCGAAAGCGUGGGGAGCAAACAGG
RNAcentral lists this ribosomal RNA (758 nucleotides) under uncultured Enterobacteriaceae bacterium. Its description in RNAcentral is "bacterial SSU rRNA". It matches the Rfam family "Bacterial small subunit ribosomal RNA", at positions 28 to 776 of the family's 1533-position model. The record is from RNAcentral. Lineage: Bacteria; Pseudomonadati; Pseudomonadota; Gammaproteobacteria; Enterobacterales; Enterobacteriaceae.